This 23006-nucleotide long non-coding RNA is filed under the name Triticum aestivum (bread wheat). Its description in RNAcentral is "long non-coding RNA (TAES_LNC009260)". The stretch from base 1716 to 1799 matches the Rfam family "MIR9776 microRNA precursor family". The record is from RNAcentral. Lineage: Eukaryota; Viridiplantae; Streptophyta; Magnoliopsida; Poales; Poaceae.
UGUUUUUUUUUUGUUGCAACCGGUAUAUAUUUUUGCUGCAACAGGCGAUUUGUUUUGCUACACCCGUUUCAUGUUUUUCUACAUUCAUUCAUGGCCGAGUUGAGUUCCGGGAUGACAUCGCCUUUUCUUGCUGCAACCGUUGUAGUUUUUGCUACACCCAUCGAGGAAUUUUGCUACAUCCCCUUUUUUCCUCGUGGAGCUGCAAGCUCGACGGCGGUGUUGAGGAUUUUUUCCUGCAACCGUUGUCUUCAUUUGCUACGACCGACACGGGAAAAUGCUACAACGGGCAUCUUUGUUUUUUGCUGGAACGAGUCAAUCAUUGAUGAGGCGGAGCUGCAUCCAUGACAAAAAAAAGCUACAACUCGCAUGAUUUUUUGCUGGAACCAGCUUUAGCAUCGGUUAGCCAGAAAACACUAGUAGAUUUCCUACCACGGGUCAGCUUGGGGAUCUCCGGCGAGUGCGGGCAGCCAGAACGGCGAGCACGGACGGCCGGGGCGACGAGCGCGGGGCGGCGCCAUGGCCGGUGCGACGAAGNNNNNNNNNNGUCGAGGAAUUUUGCUACAUCCCCUUUUUUCCUCGUGGAGCUGCAAGCUCGACGGCGGCGAUGAGGAUUUUUUCCUGCAACCAUUGUCUUCAUUUGCUACGACCAACAUGGGAAAAAUACUACAACGGGCAUCUCUGUUUUUUGCUGAACGAGUCAAUCAUUGAUGAGGCGGAGCUGCAUCCAUGACAAAAAAAGCUACAACUCGCAUGAUUUUUUGCUGGAACCAGCUUUAGCAUCGGUCAGCCAGAAAACACUAGUAGAUUUCCUACCACGGGUCAGCUCGGGGAUCUCCGGCGAGUGCGGGCAGCCAGAACGGCGAGCACGGACGGCCGGGGCGACGAGCGCGGGGCGGCGCCAUGGCCGGUGCGACGAAGCACGGGCGGCGCCCUUGCCGGGGCGACAAGUGAUGCGGCGGGCAGCCGGGGCGACGAGCGCGGGCGGCGCCAUGGCCGGGGCGACGAGCGCCACAGGCGGCGAGGGCGACGAGCACGGCCGGUGCCAAGGCGGCAAGCGUGGGCUUCGUGGUCGCGCAUCCAUGGCGGCCUUGACUGGCUCGCUCCUCUCUCUCUAUCAUCAUCAACCUCUCCUUCCGCCUUGCUGGAUCAAGAAGGAGNNNNNNNNNNNNNNNNNNNNNNNNNNNNNNNNNNNNNNNNNNNNNNNNNNNNNNNNNNGGGGCGACGAGCGAUGCAGCGGGCGGCCGGGGCGACGAGUGCAGGCGGCGCCAUGGCCGGGGCGACGAGCGCCACCGGCGACGAGGGCGACGAGCACGGGCGGUGCCAAGGCGGCAAGCGCGGGCUUCGUGGUCGCGCAUCCAUGGCGGCCUUGACUGGCUCGCUCCUCUCUCUGUUUGCUGGAGACGCUGAAGACGAGGAUAAGGUAAGGAAAAAAUAGAAUAAGAAGUUGCGAUCUGAUGGUCUCGUGCAGCCAGAUCGGGCGGCUGGGGCAGACCGGCCGAAACUUUCGGCCGCACCGGCGCCCAGUGCUGCCCCACCUUUAAAGGUGCCUGUGGAAUUAUACUCGUCGUGUAUGGUUGGUUUACCACCACUGCACGCUAGGUACUUACUUAGGUAGCCAGCUUGGGCUAUAUAUACGGUCGGUCCGAUACGUGCAAGGUGCAACAGCGCACCACAGAUCAGUCAGUGCAACGAACUCAUUUACGUACGAUCCUAGCUAGAGCUUGGACGAGGAUGUGCAACUGCGGUACGGUAGGACCUUCAGCUACGACCGGCAGCUGCACAUCCAUGCCCAAGCUCUACCUACUGUCGUCACUACUGUAGCUGCUCCACGCUCAGCGACCCCUGCGCCGCGCGUGUGCCCAUGGCGACGGAGGUGACCCUGCGCCGCUUCGACCUCUCGGACGUGGACGCCAUGAUGGCAUGGGCGUCCGACCCCGAGGUCGCCGCCUUCUGCCGCUGGGCGCCCUUCGCGUCCACGGAGACGGAAGCCCUGCUCGCCCACAUCCGGGACACCGCGCUCUCGCACCAGUGGUACCGCGCCAUCUGCCUCGCCGGCGACGCUCGCCCCGUCGGCUCGGUGUCCCUGGAGCCCACGGCUGACCCGUGCCGCGGGGAGCUCGGCUACGUGGUGGCCCGCGCGCACUGGGGCAGGGGCGUGGCCACCGCCGCCGUGAGGGCCGCGCUCGCCGCGGUGUUCGGCGAGGUGGAGGGGCUGGCGCGCGUGGAGGCGCUGGUGGACGUGGACAACGCGGCGUCGCAGCGCGUGGCGGAGAAGGCCGGGUUCCGCCGCGAGGGCGUCCUGCGGCGCCACUACUGGCACAAGGGCCGCGUCAGGGAUCUCGUCGUCUACGGCUUCGUCUCCGGCGACCCCUUGCCCCCAUCACAUGAGGAUGAGGUAUGUAAGCCACUCACUCGCCUUGGCCUCGUGCGUCCAGCGUCUCACUCUGUCCAACGAACUAGGCUCGGAGAUCGAUGGAGCGAGAAGCGGCAGCCCGGACGCCGGAGCGCGCGGACGAGGUGACCCUCCGGCCGUUCGACCUCGCCGACGCCAUGACGGCGUGGGCGGAACACCCCGUACUGGUACCGCCUACGGCCUCCAUGGCGUCGGGGGUCUACUUCUCCCCGCCCCGCGACGCCCUGCUCGCGUUCCUCCGGGGCACCGACCCUCCGCACACCUGGAUCCGCGCAGUCUGCCUCGGCGGCGCCAUCGUGGGCGCGGUGACCGUGUCGCGCACAGAGGACCGGUGCCGCGCGGAGGUCGGAACCGCGCUGGCGCGCGCGCACCGGGGCACGGGCGUGGCCGCGGCGGCCCUGAGGCGCGCGGCGACCGCGGCGUUGGGGGACCUGGAGGGCGUGGAGCGCGUGGAGGCGCUGGUGGACGCGGACGACGCCGCGUCCCGGCGCGCGGUGGAGGACGCCGGGUUCCGCCGCGAGGCCGUGCUGCGGAGCCACCGCGACGCCAAGGACGUGGUCGUCUACAGCCUCAUCUCCACAGACGACGACCCACUCAUCGGCUUACGCAGUUCAUGACGUCGUUGGCUUGUUGCCUUGCCAUGCGAUGCUAAUAAAAUUGACUCACGCAUCAUCAACACGAUCAAAUGUUACCAAGAAAAGAAACCGAAUUACAUUGCUGUGUUUCACUCUCAGCCGCGGAUUACAAGAAGGUGGUGCUGCUACUGUUCUGUCAGUCUCCAAGAGAUCGGAGCUUAUGUAUGAGAGAACACACGGGCUCGAUUAUUGAACUUUUUUGUUGAGUUGCGACUUCGACGGGAUCCCCAUGGAGACGGCGAGAGAGCACGGGCAUUGCAGGAUGCCGGCCGGCGAGCGAUCAGGCCUCCCAGCCGCGGAGGACGGUGGCGCGGGCGACGCGGUUGACGCCGAGGGUGAAGGCGCCCAUGCGGAGGUCGCAGUGGUGGGAGCGGCACAUCUCCUUGGUGUCCCGGAAGGCGCGGGUCAUGUACGUCUUGAGCUCCCGGUUCACCUUCUCCUCGUCCCACAUGAACCCCUGGAUGUUCUGCACCCACUCGAAGUAGCUCACCGUCACCCCGCCGGAGUUGGCCAGGAUGUCCGGCAGGAUCAGCACCCCCUUCUUCGCCAGAAUCUGCACCACGAACAUGUGCAUUUCUCCACUGUCAGUCAGUGUGUGAACUGAAUUAUGUCAACAAAUGCGAGCUUUGUUUUGUGGCAAAAUUUUGGGUGUUCUUGCCUCGUCGGCCUCGGGGUCUGUCGGGUGGUUCGCAGCCUCGAUGAUGUACUUUGCUUUGAUGGCAUCAGCAUUGUCCCUAGGAGAAGAAGAAAAUCAUGGUCAAGAACAGCCUUUUUGUUAACAAAAAUGUUUUCAGAUACUGAAAAAAAUAACAGCCAGGAGGAUACUAGUAUAACUGAACUUCGGAGGAGUAAUCUGAUAGAAGGUAGGAUGAAGUGAGCUGGGACGAGGAGAAAGGAGAAGAUUACUUGUUUAUGACUCCUCCCAGUGCUGCCGGGAUGAGGACGUCGCACUCUUCCGUGAGCAGCGAGGUUGGGUCGACGGCGUCUCCUCCGUCAAAGCCCUUGAUCCCGCGGUUCUCCGCCGAGUGCUUCAUCAGCUUGGCUAUGUCAAUGCCAUUGGAGUUCUUGACGGCCCCUGUGACAUCGCUGAUGGCGAUCACCUUGCCUCCAGCUUCAGUGAUCAGUUGAGCAGCCCAGGAGCCAACAUUACCAAACCCCUGAAAAAGGCAAGCGGCCAAUAAUUGCUUAUCUCUGCAAAAUGUAGGUGAAGAAACAUAGUUCUGAUCUUACUUUCUUUUUAGUAAGAAAAGUUCUGGUCUUACUCCCUUUUGUAACCAUAAAGUACAAAAGUGCGUAUUGUGCGAUCCACUGACGGCCACUUUUUAACUAGUACAUAUUUCUUAAAUCUAUGUUUGUAAUAAUAGAUUGAGGCUUCAUGACUCACACCACACUGAAUCCUCAGUUCAAUUACUUUUCAUCAUUUUAAAUUCAAAGAGCUUAACUCAUUAGCCUACACAUUAUUUAAUUACCUGGAUUACAAAACGCUGGCCUGCAAUGCCUUUGCCAUGCUCUGCAAGUAGGGCUUCAGUGGCAAACAGAACUCCCCUUCCAGUAGCUGCAUCUCUUCCCAGUGAUCCUCCAAGGUCCUGCGUUGAGCAAAAAAGUUCAGGAACAUGCGAAGAGGGAUAACUAGAAACCAGAUUUCUCUGGACAUUCAAAUCCUGGUGCUCCCACUUUUCAUCUGCAAACAACAUUUCCGUUGCACAUUACAUGAUAGAGUUUCAGGAUGAAUACUUACCACAGGCUUUCCUGUCACCACAGCAGGUGAGUAGCCAUGGAACUUUGAGUACUCAUCCAGUAUCCAUGCCAUUGUCUGAAAGCCAUGAAUGAAACAAGCAAAAGAAUCCACAUCAGAAUACAGAUGAAUAAUUCUCACAACACUCUGCAGAGAAAUAAUAAAUAUGCAAUGGACAAUAAAUACCUGUGCGUUGGUGCCCAUAUCGGGAGCUGGAACAUCGGUGUGGAUGCCAAUUAAGUCGUGAAUUUUCUGGGUGAAAACUCGGGUAAGCCGCUCGAGCUCCGAUAUGCUCAGGUCUCCAGGACUGCAUCCGAUGCCACCUUUAGCGCCUCCAUACGGAAUAUUGGCCACGGCUGUUUUCCAUGUCAUCAGUUGCGCCAAGGCAUUGACCUCGUCAGGAUCAACCUGAAUUUUUAUCAUAGCUUGUCAGUGCAAGAACUUACUACGAUCAUGGUUGCCAGUGUCUUGAACUUGCAUGCACAUGAUCGAAUUUUAUGGAAACCAAGUCAGAAUGUGAUCCAGUGUAGUAGCUUUAGUGAGAUGUGACUAAUUUCCAAAAUAGCUUUGUUCUGCUUUACUGCAAGUAGACAUUGCAAUUGCAUAGCUAGGUAUGGGCUGAACAAUAAGUCAUUCAACUAUCUGACAGGUUCCUGAAGGAGAUCGAAUUUAUGCUGAAGGACCAUUUCAAGUCGGCGACAGUGCGGCAAGAAUCAAGUGCUUAAUGGCUGGUUGUGUCAUGAUGAACAGAAGAACCCAGGAAUAUAUAUACUUAUGUGUGCUCAGUUGCUCACCUCAUGGUGGUAUCUGAUUCCACCCUUCAUAGGGCCCCUGGCAUUGUCAUGCUGCACCCUAAACCCAACAUAGGAUGCUAAUGUCCCAUCAUCUUUCGGAAUUGUGCACUCAACCUGCAACCACAAGCUUCAUUGUUAUACUGAAUAAUGGAACAAACAGUUCACCUCACAUAGACAGGACACAUGCUCAUAAAUUAGAAGGGUCCUGGACACAGUUUAACCUUACAGAGUAAGUGGCCAAGAGGCCAGUUCAACAACUUUUUUGCCAUAUUCAGCAGGAAAAACAGAAUAAAUUAACAUGGAUACGGGCUACGGCAAGCAAGAGAGUGUGAAAGAAAAUCAAGUGAAGUCUCUCGCAAAAAAAAAAAAAAUCAAGUGAAGUAGUAGGUUGGAAAAUGUCAAAUCCGAAGAUAAUCUGGUAGCCUAACCAGAAACUCAUAAAUUUACAGACCAGAUAAGAAAUAAUCGCAGGUCAACUACCAUAAGUCCCCAAGGACCAAGGUGAUACUACUUCUCAAUAACCACUGAACUCCAUAGAACAAAGAGCGUAAAUCGCUAUCCAGAUUCACUCAUUCACAGCAAAAUAUGUAUAAUCCGGGAUCAAGGAAUAAUCACCUUGAUCUCCCUGAAGGGGAUGAGCAGGCUCUUCUCGAGCUUGGAGUCGAGGCCCAGCAGCUUGGCCGCCUGCUUGAAGUUCCGGCUGGUGGCCGCCAAUGCGUUCAUCCUGCUCGACGAAAUUCCCCCUCCGGAGCCGCCGCGCCUGAAAAAGAGAUCGAGAACCCAACAUCAUCAGUAAAAUCCGAGAAACCAAAUCACACGAGACAAAAAGAUUAAACUCUGCGCGAGGAACCAGAGGAUAAUCUGCUUUUAUAUUACCGACGAGCAGAGUAGCGGCGAAGUGUUGUUAGUGGCGAGAGCAGGGGGGAGGCAGCGGCACAAAGACUAUGGAGGAGUUUCAGGUAGGCCGUAUGCAUAUGUAGGCACACUGAACCCCUCGGUGGAUUUGGGUUCCGUUCAAAAAGCAGAGGAGAUUUUUUUUUUCUUUUUAAUUUUAAUUUGUUUUUGUUUUUUUUGUCUCUACCAGGAUAAGAACAAGAUCUGGUUCUCGGCCUGCCUGCAAUUAAUUUCCCUGGAAACCCGAGCCCUGUCUGUAAUCAAUACCGUAAUUAACUAUUCCUAGCCUACUAGUACCAGAUUGAAGAGCGUCAAUCUAUGCCAUGGAAUCGACCAUCUACACUUUUAUUUAGUUUAGAGGUGCUAUCUAUACGUGCUAGUAGGAGCUUACUAACAUCUACAGUACAAAAAUAACACUGUUCUAGGGCCAACAUCUGAAUGAAGAUUCAGACUGCCGACAGCUGCGCUUGUUUUGCUGAGAAAAUGCCCAGAAUUUGAGCCGCAAGCCAGUGGAAGGGGUGUUCAAGGAAGCCUCUGCAUGUGGCAAUUUCAGAUUGCUCAAAUCGGUUGUAUGUAUGCACUGUACUGAGGUGUGCAUGUACGGGCUUGUACAGCUUGCGCCAGGCAAACUGCUGAUACGCUGACGGUGCUGAGCAUCCAUGCACGUGUAACAUGUGAUCCCUGACACUUCAUGCUUACAAUACAUGUCUGUCAAACAGUCAAGUAUUCCCUCCGUAAACUAAUAUAAGAGUAUUUAGAUCACUAUUUUAGUGAUCUAAACGCUCUUAUAUUAGUUUACAGAAGGAGUACGUACUAAAUAUAAGGCUUCUUAGAGAUUUUAUAAUAGGGACUAUAUACAGAUGUAUAUAGACAUGUUUUGGAGUGUAGAUUCACUCAUUUUACUCAGUAUGUAGUCUGUACCAAAAUCUCUAAAAAGCUUAUAUUUAGAAAUGGAGGGAGUAGUACUUAAUUACAGCUACAGUUAGAGCUCAACAACUUGGUCUAGCAGUUGAGUGAUACUACUACUGUAGAAAUCAGUUGUCUGUACUUUGGCCGCCUGUAAGAGAUGGAAAUUUCAGAAGCAACUUGGCGAAAAAGCACAUGGCUGACUCAGCUGCGAUGCUCCGUGGAAUUAUUUGGCUAACCAUGCAGUCUUGCACUGUUUUGCAUAGCGCAAUCUAAAUAAUUGGACACAAAGACACGUGUAUCCCAUGGGUCAGGGGGUUGUUGGCAAACUCGGAUUAAGGCUAGCUGAUGGUCUGCCUAGGAUGUGUGAAGCAUAUGCCAUAUGCCGUAUGUUAUUUAUUUAUUUGAUUGACAACACAUAUGCCAUAUUUUGUUUGUGUCAUAUGGUGACAAGAAAUAUAUCAUAUGUCAUGGACAGGGCUGGUAUGAUAAUUAAACGAACCUAUUAGUAUGGCUAAUGCCAACUUUGGCUCAAGAUAAGAGGGCAUAAGUUCCAGGAAGAUGCAUUCGCCGAAAAGUAGGGGCAGAUUGGGGGAGCAGGACAAUCCCAGAACGGGCAGCAAAAUCAUGUGGAGAAGAAGAAGAAGCAAUAGGGAUCGAAAAGUGGUUUAGCUGCUUUUAGAUGCAUGGAUUCCAGAUUAUGCAAGGCCUGCAUUAUUUGUCCUGUUUUAUGCUAUCUCUUUUUUAAUGCCCCAAAAUGAAUGACAAAACAAUCGCCCCACUAUCAGUGCAGAUAAUGAUAAUUAAGGUGAUGCUUUCAAAUCAGAGGAUGAUGAAGGCAAAUAUUCUCAAAUCAGAGGAUAAUGAAGGCAAAUAUUCUCAUAAUCAGAUCCCGGAUUAGGUAGCCGUAGAUGAACAAGCCCAAUCAAAGCUGCAUAAUACUAGUACUAGUACAGAGUUCAGAGCUUGGAUAAACCAUCAGUAACUCAUUGAUCUUUCUCUGGCCAUGUGAUCACUGCUAACACUAGCACACUACCAUGUAAAGGAAACACAAAGGGAGAGAGGGUAUUACUUUCUUGCAGCACCUGAUCAGGAUGAGUGAAUCCUAGCGGCUGAGGGGUUUCACCCGUGCUGCCCGCUCUGUUGUGGCAUUCAGGCAGAGGGUUACAAGGGGUUUUAUAGGGAGAAACCGGCUGGGAAUGAUACACGGAAUUAGUUCGGAGAUAUGGGGGAAUAAACGAGGAUCGUAUAUUUCUCCAAGGACUUUGGACGAUUCCAUGUGCUUGGGUUGAGUUGGCCGGGUUGCAUUGCAUCGAAUUCCAUUUCAUUGCUAUUCGAGGGCCAAAUGGGCAGAGGGUCCACGCCCCGAAUUCUCAGUCUAGUCAGAAUGGAGCUAUAGAGAUUAUGUUCGCAAACUGGUAACUAUGCUCGGUUGGUUAGGUAUCCUGUGCUAGAAUACACCCAUCUGGAUUUAAGUCAUAUACUUGCACUCUCAGACGAGUGCUCGUGUUUUUCUGAAUUUAUUCCACAAUUUUUUUCGCUAUUUUCUAGUGGAAGACGUCUUGCGCCUUGACUAUGAGGUGCCUAUGAUGAGAUUUACCGGUUUGGUCUCUUGGAGAAGAGUGCUCGUAUUUUCAUGAAUUUAUUUUGUAAUUUUCGGCGCUAUUCCUUAGUGGGAUACGUUGUGCACCUCGAGUACGAGGUGCCUAUGAUGAGAUUUGCCGACUCAGACAUGCUUGUAGGGUCAAAGUGUGUGCGCAUGCCUUUUUGGGAGUGCACUUGUGUGUGAGCAUUUGUAUUUCCAUAGAAAGACUGUGUGUGUGAAAGAGAGAGAGAAUAUGUAGUAAGUUCUUCGGAAAUAAGCGUAUUUCAGACGCACCUCAUCCACCUUGCCUUCACAAUAAUGCGUCAAGCGAUGAUUAUGACAAAUCUGGUCCAGAAGAUAUCCUCAGGGAGAGAGAGCAAAUCAUCAAAUGCAGAGCAACCGAAAGCUCCAUGUCAUGAAUUAUGACGAGAGACGCAUCCUCUUGCAUCACCGGUGGAAAACCGCGGAAUAUGGAACCAAUCGCAGGAUGCGCCGCGCAAAUUGGCGCAAUUGGAGUCCAGCGACAUGGCCACCGCCUCUUCCCAAUUGCUUUAGAAUUCUUUCCUCGUAGAUGGAUGGAUGGAUGACUUGUGUUUGUUUCGUGGACAAUGCAUAGAUUACUACUAGACCUUUACUGCCGUGUCAUGGAUGUAGCAUCAUGCUGCAUUAGGCCAAAAAAGCACGCCCAAAAGGGAGGUUCUCUCAGCAGAAAAGUGUAUGUGUUUCGUGUGUGGAGAUUCCAGCCUUUGUAUGCACCAACUUGUGAUGAGUCUUCAGUGUCACUCAUAAGUCUCCUUUCAGGGUUCAUGUUAUUUUUUCCAAGAAUAUUUUAAAAGCUUUGUUUUGGGGAGUGCUAACUGGGAAGGAAGCUAUCUAGGGAUUUCUGGAUUUCAAAGGAAUUUGAGAGAACAGUAAAAUUCCUUGUACAUGUUGCAAGAAAAGGAAUGAUGAUUUCUUUGGAAGAGGAGAAUUUCGGAGAUCGUUUCGUUUCCCGUAGGAAGAGGAAAUGUUCCCACGUGUCAACCGGGGAUUAAAUCGAGAUUCAAAUUAGUUUCAACAUCAUUAUAGAAAGAUAUUUUCAUAUUGGAGACUGAUACUUUUAAACUUUAAUAUAGCUGUGUGCAUCGUAAUGAUGCAGAGGCGGGGUGAUCCUUCUUUUUCUAAAGACAUUUCAGAGAAAGAAUAUUUAAAUGUUGGGUUUGUCUAGGACACAUCUAGAUGUGUCAUAGUUAUUGCACAUCUAAGUGACACAAUCAAGUAUGGAAAGAAAAAAGAAAAGAUAAAAAUAAAUACCCACACGAAUCUCCGUGUAAGAUCAAUGACGUAAGACUUAGAUGUGCAAUACUUAUGGUACAUCUAGAUGUGCUUUAGCAAAACUGUUAAAUGUUAUAUGGAUUUUUUUUUGAGAAAUAUCAUGUGGCUGUUUUUCCCUGUGCGAAUUACUGCAAAUUCCUCAUGUAACAUCUUUUGGGAUUAACUACUUUGUUUGCAGUUAUUUACAUAAAACUGCACCUGUUAUUCUUGUGCAGUUCAUUGAUUUUCAUUUUUCUGAGACCCAGAGAAGGCCUGAACUUCAUGCACAAUAGGUGGAUGGACUUGCGUGCUGGAGUCAAUGCCUACCAUUCGGUGUAAAGGGAAAAGGCAGACAGUCAUUUCCCAAUCUGAAUGUUGAUUAGGACUACCACUUACAAGAAAAUAAAUAAAUCCUGACCAUAGCACCGUUCUGUUAGAUCUAUUUUCGAGUCAUCGUGUUAGUGGUGCUAAUUUUAAUUUAAAACUUAAGACAGCCCACUUGAGCUACAGCAAAGAGGCCGAAAUGAUAGUCAAAGUUGAAGAAGAGAAUGUGACACCUCGAGUUUGCAAGAGCGCGUGACCUCUCGAGUACGCAAUAAGCACAAAGAUGAAGAUGUUAAGACAGUGGGUUGGUUUGAGUUAGGGCAUCUCCAACGCUAUUCGCUAAAGCCAACACACUAUUCAUCCGGGGUCCAUUCGUGGAUCACAUACGGAUGGAUCCACGGACAGGACACGGGAGCCGGUCAUUCAACUUUGUCCCUCAAAUAAGCAUCAGAUCCGAAUAGCAGAAUUGGGCCAAGCGGACCUGGACGACAAAGCACAUGGAUCGUGAUGACAUAUGGUCCAACUGACAGUGGGUCAAGCAGACCUCUACAUGCUGCCUGGACAACCGUAAAUCAAUUAUUUGUUUGCUGCCAUGAUACUAGAAUUCAGACAUCUAGAUUGGUUUGUGGACAUAUACGGGUCCCCAUUUGAUGACAAAAGUGAACAAAAUUGGUCCAGACACCAUAAUCUGGAUAUUUACGAGAGUUUUGAGGGCACAUGCUUUCGAGAUGCCCUUAGCCCUAAGGGUUCUCAAAAGAAUCGGGAAACCAAACACACUACGUUUCCUGACUGAUAUGCACACAACACUUGAAUCAAACGGGGUAGGAGUGUUGGCCAUUGUGUGGUGGCCGCAGCAUGCCGACUAUAAAUCCGCAGUAGUAUUUUCGCAUAGAUAGCAAGAUUAUAAAAUAAAGUAGAAUAGAAACAGACGCAAACGGAUCUUUGCUUCCGAACAAAACCCUGCCAUCAAAUAGGUUGUCCCAGGAGCACCAUAUUCUAGGAGCCCAAGUUAUGCCAAAUGUUGCGCUCAGGCAUUACUCAAUAGAGGUGCAAGGCAUGCCCAGACAACCACAAUAUGAACAAAUUGUUGUGAUUUAUGUUCAUCAUGGAGCGAACUAAUUGAAUUGUAAAUUCAAAACGUAUUUAGUCAAGUGUAAAAACGAUGCAGCCAGGCCAUGUUCCAGGAAUUAUCCACUAUCUUACGUUCUACAGGUUCUUCAGUCUGUAGGCUCCGGAAGUCAGCACUUUGUGGAUGGCAAAGGGAUCUUCCCAAGGGUGAUGAGAGCUUGUGCAUCCUCUCCUUCUGAAUCAGGCAGAGCACAAGGUCGCCGACCUAGUGCUCGUAUAUUUUACUGGUAGAUGGGAUGAGAGAUACAAAGAAACAACUGUGUGUUUCGCAAUACUUCUAGUUGGAUGAAUGCUACGGACCUAGUCACAAAGAUCUUUGAGGAGCUACAGUUGUGGACCCUAGCAGGAAGAAGAGGAGUCAACGUGUGGUGUGAGUAGUAGCGUGAGGUAGUAGGAGUAGGAGUAGAGUGUCAUUUUGCCUUAGCCGAUCUGUGGCUUUGAGGCCUCAAGUUCUUGUAAAUACUCUUUCCAUCUUCUAUAAAGGUACGGUACGUAUUUUGCAUACUCUAAAAAAAAGGCAUCCUUUUUAGAGAAUUUAAUCUGCUCUAAAACAGAGUAUACGCCUGUGACUGUGAGCCCAGUUGAGCUUUUGAGCUUUUUUUUACUGAAGGCUGAAAUCUUCAGGAGUACCAAGGGGCAUUAGAGAACGGAGGGCACCUAGAUUGAUCUGAAAGACUAGUUUGAAGCUGCCCAUUAGUCUCUUCUCACAAAACUGUUCAUGACAAUUCAAUGUGACAUAUCAACAGAGUCCAGGUCCAAGCAAUCAAUGUGUUUGUUUAGCAACCAAUACAUUGCAUCACCGGCCAAGAUCUUCUAUACACUACAAAAAGGUGCUACUACCAGGAAAAGAACAGUGCACCGAGACAAACCACAUAGUAGAUACUAAUCAUCCACAUACAUAUUAAUCACCAGCCAGGUCCAAUGGAAGUAAUCUGUGUCAGAUUCCAAGUAUUCUCAGCACCCUUCAAAGGAAGUAAGACAGGGAUAACUGUAUCUUUACUUGUGAUCUCAUCAUCCACAUACAUACUAAUCAGUUUGAGUUUCAAAAAAAGUAAAAUUUGUCAAACCUAUCAGAUUCAUAUAUCAAACAAGAAAGAACUGCCAUGGUCGCCAAGAAUUAGAUCUAUAAAACAGAAAGAAAAAAUAACAUAAAGGACACGUUUCCAGGAUAUAAGCUGGCACAAAGAACGCCACCAAUCAGGACAUACCACACGUAAGAGAAUAGCUGUAGCGUCCGAGACUAAUUACUGCGAGGAACACAAGUCAUCCUCAGGAAUUGGUAACGAACGCGCAUCAAACCAAGAAACAAACAGUAAGAAACAUACAGACUACUCCACAGAUAAAUCAUCAAUUUGGGGGAGCUCAGACAGCCAAGGGGUCGUCCGCAGAUGCCACUGAAGAGGAGGCAUCAGAAACUCUAGUCCACAAAUUUGUCAUCACCACUACAACAUCAUGGACCAUCAAAACUAAAAAUAAGAAACAAACCAAAUCGAGAUUCAUCAAGAAUCAAAAGAGCGNNNNNNNNNNNNNNNNNNNNNNNNNNNNNNNNNNNNNNNNNNNNNNNNNNNNNNNNNNNNNNNNNNNNNNNNNNNNNNNNNNNNNNNNNNNNNNNNNNNNNNNNNNNNNNNNNNNNNNNNNNNNNNNNNNNNNNNNNNNNNNNNNNNNNNNNNNNNNNNNNNNNNNNNNNNNNNNNNNNNNNNNNNNNNNNNNNNNNNNNNNNNNNNNNNNNNNNNNNNNNNNNNNNNNNNNNNNNNNNNNNNNNNNNNNNNNNNNNNNNNNNNNNNNNNNNNNNNNNNNNNNNNNNNNNNNNNNNNNNNNNNNNNNNNNNNNNNNNNNNNNNNNNNNNNNNNNNNNNNNNNNNNNNNNNNNNNNNNNNNNNNNNNNNNNNNNNNNNNNNNNNNNNNNNNNNNNNNNNNNNNNNNNNNNNNNNNNNNNNNUUGCUGUUUGGAAAAGAAAAAAAUGACAUCACAUUGCUGUUUGGAAUUUGUAGGCGGCAUUGGUGGGGAUUUAUAUAAAAAAAUUGAAGGUGGGGAUUUUUCUAGGGUUUUCCUCUUCUCUUUGCGGGUGCAGAUGGGGCAGGCCGACGCAUCCACCUGCGUGAGAGGCAGACAAGGCCACAAGUAGACGCACUUUAUUUCCUAUUUGCCACCUUUAGCGGCGCAUCCGUAGGGAGCUAUAUCUCGCUUAUAGUGAGAUUUUUUAGCAAAGGUAGCAGGCCUUAUUGAACAUCAAGAAUGUUACAGGUAUUAUGAGCGUAUCAUGCAGAUUGCCUAACCAAAUAUGCCUUCCCUGAUACCCAAAAAGAUGAGGAGAGUUCUGUUAAAAGCUAUGCAAUGAUUAACAGAGUUUCUGCUGCAACAUCUACGCCAGCGCCAAUGCUCUGAAUCUGAAAGUUCUGUUUAAUGAUCGCUUCAUCCACCAAAUGAAUGUAGGAGUAGGCAACAAAUUCAGAAGCAAAACCAAAACCUCAAGAAAGAAAAACAUAGCCUAGGGGAAGAUAUGCACAUUUCUUACAUUAAUAAAUGUGCCAGAAGACAGGUAACACGACGCAGUUUGGUAAUGCGUCGUGCUGUUUAAUGCUGGCCAGUGUUUCCGAUUAAUCUAUGCUUCCCUCUACAGGAUGACCAAACUGUUAACAGGAACAAACACAUAACAUUUUCCAUUGAAGCAUUGUUUUUGGGCAGGGAUAAGAUAUAACUAAGUAUUUCCUCAGUUCAGGUCUCCAAAUUGCUUCCACACCACGCCAUGAGGUAGCGCAUCAGAAGAACGAAAGUAUUUAGUUUGAUCAUCAUUGGACAGUUUUCAACAUCAGAAAACAUGAGAUAAACAACAAAAACCAUUAUUUGGGGCGGGAAGAAGAUAAAAUGAAGUACUUCCUCAGUUCAGGUCUGAAAAUUGCUUCCGCACUGUACCAUGAGAUAGCACAUCAGAAGAACGAAAGUAAUUGGUUUCAUCAUCAGACAGUUUUCAACAUCAGAAAACACAAGAUAGACAACAAAAAACCAUUGAUUUGGGGCAGGAAGAAUUUAAAUUUAAGUAUUUCCCCAAUUCAGGUCUCCAAAUUGCUUCCGCACCGCGUCAUGAGAUAGCGCAUCAGAAGAGCGAAAGUAUUUAGUUUGAUCAUCAUCAGACAGUUUUCAACAUCAGAAAAAAUCAGAUAAACAACAAAAACCAUUGUUUUGGGCCGGGAAGAAGAUAGAAUUAAGUGUUUCCUCAGUUCAUAUCUCCAAAUUGCUUCCACACUGUGCCAUGACAAUAAUAAGAAGUAACUUUCUGAGGGCACCCUCAGAACAUUUGCAUAAUUGUAUCACAGUAUUUUUCUUAGGAUAUUUGUCCAGCCAUCAGGAGGCAAAAACAGGAACAAAAUGGCAACUAGAAAACAAAUAAAUAACAAUAUGAGGUAUGUCAUUGCUUCUGAUCGCUCUAGGUGAUAAUAUAUAUCUCAUCAACACAUGAAUCAGACAACUAUAUUUUACGAACACAGGUGAGCACCACUCACCAGGAUCCAAGAACAACAAUCUGCGGUCCAGAAACAGACUAGGAAAGAAGAAUCAAACUGCAGUAUCCUCAGUUCAGGUCACCAACUCUUCCAUAUUCAAGAUUUUCGGAACAAGGAACGUACCAUUGUGAUUGAUGGUUGAGCUGUCAGACAAUGCUUUCUAGGCAAACGCACUCAAUCAAGCAGAAGUGAAGAAAGAGGAUAAAGGAAUAAUAGAAGAUCAAAUCAGUAUCCCUCAGGUAAUAUGCUUAUGUUUUUCAUCAACAGAGAAAACUCAGGUCUCAAAGAUGUGCCAUCACUGGACUUACAGAACUGAACCGAAUAGAAAAGGAUAAAUUAAAAUCAGGCAAUUUUGGAGAAUGUUAUUCGCUGGGGAAGCAACUAUCCCCAAAAGUCUAAAACCCAAAAUGGGGCGUGGCCAAGUGGUAAGGCAGCUGGUUUUGGUCCCGUUACUCGGAGGUUGGAAUCCUUCCAUCCCAGAUUGUUUCUGAUGAAACAAACAGUGAAAUCAUACUUGUAGCUAAGAGAACAAUGCUUUCAUCUGUUAAAACCUCAGAAAACUGCAUAAAUUUUCGCCACUUAAAAAUCUGACAGUAAUUCCAACAUGUAGCUAAUCAUCAUGGGCAUAACCCUGUACUUAUCCAGUUGGGCUUCUCUUGGCUGAAGGCUGAAAUCUUCACUUAACUAGGAGUACCGAGGGCAUUGGAGAACUGAAGGCAACUAGACUGAUCCGAAAGACUAGGUCAAAGCUGCUCAUCAGUCUCCUCUCACAAAACUGUUCGUGACAAUUCAAUGUGUUUGUUCAGCAAAAAAUGCAUUGCAUCACCGGCCAAAAUCUUCUACACAGGUACUACUAGAAAAAUAACAGUGCACAGAGAUUCAAAGUAUUCUCAGCAUAUGUACAUACUAGGAGUAAUCUGUGUCAGAUUCAAAGUAUUCUCAGCACCCUUUCGAGGAAGUAAGACAGGGAUAACUGCAUUUUUUACUUGUGAUUGAUGGCAGAUUGUAUGACGAGUCAGAAGUAGCUGGUUGAAGAUCUCAUGUUUAUUACAAAUCAAUGGGAAUCCGAAUGAUUUUCUUCUUCAUACUCGCAAUCCAAGCCAAAUCAUGCUGCACAAGAUGAUGGAAGUAAUCGUGUCAGAUUAAAAGUACCUAAAAUCUUAAAAGUGCACGCGCACUGUUUCGCGACACCGAGCGGCGGCGCUACGCGACAGCGGACAGCGACCUCACACGCUCAGUCCAUCUCUCCACUAAAAGAAAAAAGGAAAAUCUUCUCCACUCCCGAGCAGCACGACCUUCUUCCUCCACUAACCACCGCCGCUGUGCACCCCGCCUCCUCCGGUCCUCCCUCGCGCCGCCUCCUGACAACGCCAACUCGCCGUCGCGAUUGCCCAUCGCCACCCCAGCAGGCCUCGCAUCUUUCCCUCCAGGGCGCCACCAUGAGCCGCCGCAGGAAGCAAUCCCCAACCUCCGGCGCCGCCGCGACUCAUCUUCUGCGAUGGGCACACGCCGCUCCGCGGCUGCGCACAGCUGUGAAUCCUCGCACUUAGCCGUGAGGGCUCCAUCGCCUACUCAAGUGCCCAUCACAUGCAGGUAGUAUUCCCCUUCNNNNNNNNNNNNNNNNNNNNNNNNNNNNNNNNNNNNNNNNNNNNNNNNNNNNNNNNNNNNNNNNNNNNNNNNNNNNNNNNNNNNNNNNNNNNNNNNNNNNNNNNNNNNNNNNNNNNNNNNNNNNNNNNNNNNNNNNNNNNNNNNNNNNNNNNNNNNNNNNNNNNNNNNNNNNNNNNNNNNNNNNNNNNNNNNNNNNNNNNNNNNNNNNNNNNNNNNNNNNNNNNNNNNNNNNNNNNNNNNNNNNNNNNNNNNNNNNNNNNNNNNNNNNNNNNNNNNNNNNNNNNNNNNNNNNNNNNNNNGAGGAUUCAGCCGUGAACUUGUUUGGAUUUAUAGGAAUGAAUAUUGUUGGAUCUAAAUCUGGUUAAUACUCUGUCAUUUUCCUACUUCAUAAAUUUACUUUGGAAAGUUCAUAUAUUUAGUAGUCUGGACACGGGAAAUUUAAUUGCAAUGUUGAUUCAACUUGGGUUUUCUAUGGCAGCUGGAGUAGAAAAUACAAAUUUGUAGUGUAACAACUAUAGUCUAAUCUGCCGGAUAUUGAUGGGAGCAAUCAGAUUUUUGAUGUCUGUGCAGUUCAUCUACAUGUUAUUGACAAUUUUUAUUCAGACAUCUAAUUCACCUCCACAUAUGCUUGUCUAGUCUGCUACCUUACCCAAAUAGUACUAGUACUGAAAUAUUAACAACAUUUUCAUUCUCACAUAUUGUUAACUCAACCUCUUCUAGGUAUUUUUUCAGGAAAUGCAGUCAAAUUCAUGUACAGAUGCAUCACUUUUGUGAUCCUACUAGUCAAUCUCCGGUAUGAUGCUUGGAACGUUGAUGAUUGGAGUGUUGAUCUAUACAGGAGUUUCGGCAUCUUUCUCAAGGAGCUACGUCGACUAGGAUGAGUGGUGGGUUUGUACGGCGGUUAGGAUUAUAGUGGUGGGUUUGAGUUGGAUUUUCACGGUGAGCUGUUCAGAUUUUGUCACUACUGGUAUGGUUCAUGAUCCUUAUUUGAUCCAUCUAUUCUUGCCUAGACUGCAAUUGUCUCGUUAAACAUGAUACUCUCUGUAGAGCUUCAUUACAUUAUUGACCUCUUUUUCUCGUAAAUGCAUCCGUGUGGUUUCUUUGUUUUCUCAUAAGUCGCAUGCAUAUAAGUAACCAGUUGGCUAGUUUGUUGUAAUAGUUGCACAUGAACGCAAAUGUAGUUGGAUGACACAUAUACAUGUCUCAGUUGGCUAGCCAACUUAUGAAGUUGCACAGUGAAGGCUAACCAGUUGCACAGUCGAUGGUAUUCUUCUGCAGCAGCCGCUGAGGUAACAUAAAAUUCCACCAGGGAUAUUUUUUACUCCACAUAUAGGCAACCAAGUGUAUUAAUUUUCAUACAUAGUUGCAGAAGGACUAAUUAAGCAUUGGCAUGCUGAACUUUCUCAGUUGCUCAACGUUGCAUCUUCAAGUUUUUUAGAAUUGUCCCAAGAGUAUGUAAUGACUUGGCAUCCUCAGACUUUCUAGUUGCAGAAUAGUAUCUAAUUAGUUGGCAACCUCAGUAAUUCUAGUUGCACAACAAUAUACAACUAGUUGACAUCCUCAGCUUCUCUAGUUGCACAAGAACUCAGAUUAGUCCCAUCUAAAAAAAUUGAGGAUUGCCCAACAGUAUCUAACGACUUGGCACCCUCAGGUUUUCUAGUUGCAGAAGAGUAUUUAUUUAGUUGGCACCCUCAGCAAUUCUAGUUGGACAACAGUAUCCAAGUAGUUGACAUCCUCAGCCUCUCUAGUUGCACAAGAAUUCAGAUUAAUCCCAUCUUAAAUUUUUUGAGGGAUUGCCCAACAGUAUCUAGUGACUUGGCACCCUCAAGUUUUCUAGUUGCAGAAGAGUAUCUAUUUAGUUGGCACCCUCUACGAUUCUAGUUGGACAACAUUAUCCAAGUAGUUGACAUCUUCAGCCUCUCUAGUUGCACAAGAAUUCAGAUUAAUCCCAUCUUAAUGUUAGGAUUAAUCUUGAUUAUGUAUCUGCGUUGUAUUUUCGUUUAGCAUGUAGUCUAGUGUAGGUUGAUGUUUGUCCCGUGAAGCUUCAGCUCAGCAUGCAGAGGAGGCGAGAUGUUGGGCUGCCGUGCGAUACGGCGAGCACGGCGAGAUGCCGAUGGCAGCGUGAGGCUGCAGUGCUACGCGAGGCAGCAUGGCCGUGUGAUGCGGCAAGUGCGUGAGAGGCUGGAGCGUGACGGGCUGCAUGAAGAGGUUGAACCGGGCGAUCCGGCAAGUCAUUAUCAGUUGUAUACAUGCUAGUUUGGUUCGGUCUAUGGCCGUUCAUGAGGCUGCCCAAGUACUGGCCGUGCAUGUAGUUCUGCAUGUUGAGGGGGUUAGAUGCAUAGUCGUUAGGAUCCUGCAGAGAUGCCUGGAGUAGGAUAAGGCCAGUUAGUGGGUGUGGUAGUGCAUGCAUGGAUUAGUUUGUUAAUGGCCGAGCAUGGCGGCCUGUUAGUUCGUGCGUGACUUAGUGGCCCGGCCAGGUUGUGCGUGAUGGCCAACAGUCUAUGUAUAUAUAUGUCACACUGAGCAAUGAGAAAAUAGAGGCCGUGAGGGCUCAAGAGAAAAGAUGUAGCACUUGUGGUUGCCAAGAAAGAGUACCUCUCGGCAAAGUUAGUUGUUUUUCUUCCUUGUUAUACAUGCGUGUGUGUGCAGUUUCACCAUGUGUGUGUGUGUUCUUGAGAGAAACCAUAGAAGAGAAGAAGAGAGGAACCCAAAUAGAGUUGUGGGAGGCAGCUCGAGGUAGAAGAAAAGCAGCGCUGCCAGAGGCGGCGCCAACACUUGAAAAAUUUGAGGAUUGCCCAAUAGUAUCUAAUGAUUGGCACCCUCAGGCUUUCUAGUUGCAGAAGAGUAUCUAUUUAGUUGGCACCCUCUGCAAUUCUAGUUGGACAACAUUAUCCAAGUAGUUGACAUCCUCAGCCUCUCUAAUUGCACAAAAAUAUCUCAUUAGUUGACAUCAUCAGCAUUUCUAGUCGCACAAGAAUAUCUCAUUAGUUAUCAUCACAAGUAUUUCUAGUUGCAGAACAAACAGGAUAUCAAGUUACCAUCCUCAACUUUUUAAUCUAGUUUUCCAGAGAACAAAUAUUUGUAUGUAAUGAUAACUAAUCACCUCUACCUUUUUUUUGCAAACCCCAAGAUAUUGUUCAAGGAAAUGAGAGUAAUGAAGCAAAUAAUGUUGAACGACGGUCACAAGCUGGCUACCUGAUGGAGACUGCCUGGUACGCCUCUCUCCUCCCUCUUCUUUACCACUUCCGUUCUUGCGUUCAUUGCUUUGCCAUUAUAGCUCUGUUUUGGAUCCAGGCUAGGACCCUUUCUUUCGUUGAAAAGAAGGAGCCCUGUGGAGAAGGAAGUGUGGGCGAGGGGUGCAUGGAGGCUUCGGGAGUUAGUGGGCUAUCAUGUGAUACCGAUUGGCCUUUGUUUUCUGAUUCUUCAUGGAUUUUAGGGGUCGGAACAAAGUUUCCUUUAUGGAAACAGUGGGGACAAAAAGUUACCUUUUCCGGCCGCUCGCGAGCGCUACCAGGCCAACGGCCGCUAGCCAGACGCAUCCUUAAAAGUAUUCUCAGCACCCUUCCGAGGAAGUAAGACAGGAAUAACUGUAUUUUUACUUGUGAUCUCAUCAUCCACAUCCAUAUUUAUCAGUUCGAAAAAACAAUAAAAAUCAAAUGCUCGUACAAUCUAUCACGGCCGGCACAUUUAGAUCCAGAAAGACAAAGAAAAAAAAAUAGAGGACGGCAUGUGAAUGUAUGUGGCGUUUCCAGGAUAAGCUGGCACAGAGGACGCCACCAAUCAGGAUAUACCACACAUUAGAGAAUCGCAUGUAGCGUCCGAGACUAAUUACCACGAGGAACAAAAAUCAUCCUCAGGAAUUGGUAAUGAAUGCGCACCAAAAAAUGUUGUUUUGGGAGGGAAGAUAUAAUGAAGCAUUUCCUCAGUUCAGGUCUCCAAAUUGAUUCCGCACCACACCACAAAAUAGCACAUCAGAAGAACGGAAGUAUUUAAAUUGAUCAUCAUCGGACAGUUUUCAACGUCAGAAAACAUGAGAUAAACAACAAAAUCAAUUGUUUCAGGGCGGGAACAAGAACAAAAAUAUUUAGUUCGAUCAUCUUCAGACGGUUUUCAACAUCAUAUACAGUCAUCAGGAGCCCAAAACAAGGACAAAAUAACAAAAAAUAAACACAAACGAACAAUAUCAGGUAUAUCGUUGCUUCCCUCUAGGUGAUAAUAUCUCAUCAACACAUGAAUCAGAUCACUUUAUUUUACCAGCACAGGUGAUCACAAGGAUGCAUGAACAACAAUCUGCAAUCCACAAACAGACUAGGAAAGAAAAAUUGAACUGCGGUAUCCUCAGCUCUUCCAUACUCAAGAUUUCCAGUAGUUAAGUAGAAUGGAGAUUGAUUGUUGAACGGUAAGAAGCAAAUGCACCUCCAUCAAGCAAAAGAAUAGUCAAUCAAGAGUGAAGAAAGAGGAUCAAGGAAUAACAGAAGGUCGAAUCAGUAGACCUCAGGGAUUAUGCUUAUGAUUUUCAUCAAGGAAGAAAAGUCAGGUCUCAAAGAUGUGGCAUCACUGGACUCGGGAACUUAACUGAAUAAAAAAGGGCCAACUAAAAGUCAUAAACAUAUAAUGAUAAGCAGGAGCAAUUUUGGAGAAUGUUAUUCGCUGCCCCUCACAAUUAAAAGUAGGGGAAGCGACUCAUCCCCAUAAAGUCUGCCCCUGGAAAAAAUCAAGCCCCACAGAUACAUAAAACAAAAGGAUCAACUAAUAAAGGGGGUCUUCAACAUAAUUUGUCCUCAGAAUUGCAGAAUGACAGCAUGGACGCAUAGCAACCAAUCAGUCCCGAAAGAUGGUAUGAUUUAACAGGUUUUUCAUCACCGGAACCAUAAACAAGGUCUAUAUAAGUCAAACCUAAAUUAUUUUAGGGUUGGAAGUCAGAAUUGCAUAUUUGACAACAUGGCAAACAAGAGCGCACCAAUCAGACUCAACAUCGUGACAAUAAUAAUAAUGACGGAAAUGUUGUAUUCAUAAACAAAAAUGCAAAAAUCUAAGCCUUUCAUUAGUUAAGCAGAUAAGCAACGACACCUAAUUAGGCCAACCUAUGUUAACAGUUCAGUGAACGAAUUACACCAACAAACCUGGCAAUAGACCGGGCACACCCAAAAAAAAAACAGGAUUCAAUUAGCCAACAAACCUGUAAUGCACAUAAAUGCAUAAGAAUAGACGAGCUCUUGCCAACCAUUGAAAUGACUAAAGCCCAUGGCAAAACAAACUCUCAAAGAGUUCAAGAAGGAAUUCAAGAUACAAUAUAUUAAAGGUUCCAGAACAAAGACAUUAUCUAGGGCAAAACAUCAUCCAAGGUAAUCGUCUAAACAAGAACACUCCUUAAGAUUCUGGAAAUGGACCAACACAGUAGUAGAAAAGCUAUGGGGGAUCGUUGUGAAGCAGCUUAUCGCUUCUUGGAGACACCAACAGUCUUUCCUCUCCUGCCGGUAGUCUUGGUGUGCUGACCACGGACACGCACGCCCCAGUAGUGACGCAGACCACGAUGGUUCCUGGAAAAGAGGAGGGUUUCAAGCAUAAGUGAUUACUCACGCAUCUAUGCACUAGGACAAGGCUACUGCAACAGUUUAGUCUAAAGGAAUCAGGCAUCACCAUACAUCUCUUGGAAACAAAGCAUUGCUAUACAGAACUACUGGGUCACAUACAAGGUACACCAGAAGGAUACAGAUGAAUAUGUACAAGUAAUAGACAGGCUAGUCCUAACAGAUUGACCAAACUGAACUUUUGUAACCAAAACUGCUACUUGCCUUUAUAACUUGAGAGCAGGGCUUCUCGUUAAUAAGAGUAAAUACAGACAUAUGACAUUGUAUUUUUGCAGAAAAGAAACAUUAAUUCCGAUCUACACAAGCUAACGCUGGACUAGGUUAGGCCUAUUUCACAGGAUAAACCACUACAGAAUGAAGCAGAUGAAGUCAGCACAUGCUACCAGAAAAACACUAUGCACAUCAAGAACAACAGAAUAAACGCGUUUCAGGCAUUCUAAUGUCCGAAGAUCUGCUUAGAGAAACCCACUAUGCCAAUCCCAAGACUAGACUGUAAAGUACUGGAUGAGAUAUCAACUACUGCAGCUACUAAAGCAUGUGCAAGAUGUUAGUUAACAGCAUCAUAACCAGUUGAACCUAGCGCAUAAUCAUCGAUCAACCA